This 67-nucleotide transfer RNA is filed under the name Schistosoma mansoni. The record is from RNAcentral. Lineage: Eukaryota; Metazoa; Platyhelminthes; Trematoda; Strigeidida; Schistosomatidae.
CACUUCAAGCAAUCUUAUGCAAAGCAAAGGAUGAAAUGUCAAAAGAAGAGAAACCGAACAUCACCUA